RNAcentral lists this long non-coding RNA (41234 nucleotides) under Lotus japonicus. Its description in RNAcentral is "long non-coding RNA (LJAP_LNC001663)". Lineage: Eukaryota; Viridiplantae; Streptophyta; Magnoliopsida; Fabales; Fabaceae. The record is from RNAcentral.
UUAGAGCUUUUUCCAGAGAAAGCUUGGAGCACCUGAAACAACGCAUUGAGCAGGUUAUCAUUGCACAAGCUUCUGUGCUGAGGUGCAACGCGAGUGUGAGCUUUCUUGAAGAAGUGAACCCUUUAUAUCCUCCAACUAUAAAUGAUGGUGACUUGCACGAGCAGUUUCGCGAUGUCGCGGUGAAUUUGCUCGGUGCUGAUAAGGUUCACUUUGACAUGCCGCUGGUCACAGCUUCUGAAGAUUUUGCCUUCUAUCAAGAGGCUCUUCCUGGCUACUUCUUUGUCCUUGGAAUGCAGAAGGAUCAUCGGACUGAUUCGCUGCACUCGUCGUAUCUCAUGAUCAAUGAAGAAGGGCUUCCUUAUGGAGCUGCACUUCAUGCAUCGUUAGCUGUUAACUAUCUUCAAAAAUAUCAGCAAGGGGAAGAGAAAAUAAAUGAAUGGUAACUGUUGUUAGACAUUAUAGACCCUUUUGGUUGCACGUUUCGUUUUUCAUUAAGUACGUUUAUGCCACUUUUUUUGUGAAGAAAAAAUGUUUUAGGACGUGAUAUCUAAUUUUUCCUUUUUCAUGUUUUUUGAUUAGUAAUCAGACGAGGCCUACAUAAUAAGUUCGGAUUUCCCCUUGGAAAAUGUUAUUCCUGUCCUGUCGUAAUCUAGUUCUUAAUUUUACACAUGAUUUCAAUGCACAUGACAAUAAUUCUUCAUUCGCACUUAUUUAUGUUCGUACAAAUUCACGAUCUUAAAUAUCAUUGCUUCACUUAAAAAGAAUUUAAGUUAUUAACAUGGGAUUUAAAAAACUCAUUAGAAAAUGAGCUGUUGAUCAAGAAUAUUGUUUUCUUCACACACUAAAGUUAAGACCAAAAUGAUAAUGAUAGAAAUAGAAAAUUAGAUUUAGUGUGAAUUAAUAAAACCCCUCAAUGAAACACUUAUGAGAUACAAACAAAUCUUAAAUAGUUAUAGGGGGAAGAGAAUGAAAGAGGAAGAGAAGAGAAGGGAGGGGGAAGGGUAGCUCACGUGGUGAACUUAGGAAAAAAAGAAGAGAAGGGAGGUCCCUUGUUUGAAAGUUUAAAAUUCCACAAAACCCCUAGAAACUUCACAAAAUAAAUAAAUGAAAGUUUUGUAAAAAAAAAUUCUCCAAACUUUUCCCUAUUUUUAAAAGGAUAAAUUUUAGUUCAGUCUAAUCUUUUAAAUGUAGGAAUUGAUUCCUGAAUCUUUUCCCUCCUCUCUUAUUACUUAUUAAGUCAUCAUUUGGAGAUCUAAUUGUACAAAAAAGAGUAAAAACUUUACACAUAAAAUGUGCCUAAAUUUUCUACUUUUAAACAACUAAACCUCCUAUUUUCCUAAACUGAAUUGAAUUGUGCCUAAGUUUUGGAAAUGUAUUUCAAAAUGUCAGGAAAAUUAACACACAUUUUCCUUCCCUCUGUAAAAUAACUUUGCCUACGGAGUGGGACCUGCCGCAAUCUUCUAUGAAAAGAAACUCACGACCCUUUCACUUUCACUCUGUACAUUCUGGUUACUCGCUGUUAACAAACCAUGGCUUCCUUCAAAUGCUUCCAUUUUUUCAUCAUCACUUUGCAAGUUUUUGCUGCAAUACCCAUUUUCUCAUUAGCAGAUUCCUCCUUCACACAAAAUCAGCUCUUCACAAAGUUCCUAGACACUGCCAAGAAACCUGAGCUUUUUGAUUGGAUGCUCACUAUCAGAAGGAAGAUACACCAGUUUCCUGAAUUGGCCUAUCAAGAAUUUCAAACCAGUGAAGUCAUAAGAGCAGAAUUGGAUAAGUUGGGGAUCCCCUAUAAACACCCUGUUGCAGAAACUGGUGUUAUUGGCUUCAUAGGGUCUGGAAAGUCACCUUUUGUUGCCUUAAGAGCUGAUAUAGAUGCUCUUCCCAUGCAAGUAGGUUUCAUAAAUUCUAUUUACCUUUUUUCUUGAUAAAGAUGGGUUGACUUUUUUUUUUCAGAAAUUUAGAAUCAGGGUUUUGACUUUUGAUUUCUGAAAUUUUUAUGGGUUGGUUCAGUUCUAGCUAUCUGGAGGUGAGAUAACAAAGAUUAUUGUUUUCUCUUUCCUCAAAUUUUAUUGACAUUUGACAAUGUUUUUAUAAACCAUAGGAAAUGGUGGAGUGGGAGCACAUGAGUCAAGUAGAUGGAAAGAUGCAUGCUUGUGGUCAUGAUGCUCAUACUACAAUGCUUCUUGGUGCUGCUAAGAUUCUCAAACAGCAUGAAAAUGAGAUUAAGGUGUGACCUUUUAUACUGCCUUCUCUGUUUCUAUUUUGAGUUUUUUUUUUAGAUACUACUCUUCCCACAUGUGGUCACUGGUCCCUACUGUCUGGUCCUUUUGAUGAUUUAUUUACCUUUUUCUCUAAAGAAAACUGCAUUUAUGUCAAACCUAAGUACCUUUUUGGUUUCUGUCAUUUCAGAAAAUUGAUGCCAAAUUAUUCCAUCAUGUAAAUUUGUUUUUUUGGUAAAUUACAAGCUUUCUGCCAUCUAUCAUGCACCUUAAUAAAUCUGUUCUGUCUAUUGUAAUACAAUCUUGAUCUUGAAGUUGCCCCCUUAACAUUUUGUUAUACCAGAACAAUCAUCAUCCUCCCAUGGAUCCUUGAUAAGUUGGUUACUUUGCUGUCUAAAUAGGGAACUGUUGUUCUUGUUUUCCAACCAGCAGAGGAAGGAGCUGCAGGGGCUAAGAAAAUUGUUGAAUCUGGAGCCUUGGAAAAUGUAUCUGCUAUCUUUGGAUUGCAUGUGCUACCUACGCUUCCAGUAGGUGAAGUGGCUUCUAGAUCUGGUCCUUUAAUGGCAGGGUCUGGUCGGUUUGAAGCAAUUAUCAAUGGAAAGGGAGGUCAUGCAGCUAUUCCUCAUACUGCUGUUGACCCGAUUUUGGCGGCUUCGAAUGUAGUUAUUAGCUUACAAUACCUUGUUUCUCGCGAGGCUGAUCCUUUGGACUCCCAGGUAAAUUUAGUUCAUUCUUAGUUUUCCAUUGUUUGCCAUGGCCACUCAUUUACUUGUUUAUGUCCAAAAUCCUCCUUGUCUUCUUCACAUAGGUUGUGACGGUUGCAAAGUUUCAAGCUGGGAGUGCAUUCAAUGUUAUUCCAGAUUAUGUCACAAUUGAUGGAACCUUUAGAGCUUUUACCACAGAAAGCUUGGAGUACCUGAGACACCGCAUUGAGCAGGUAUGUCAUGUAGAAGAAUAGAUUCAUUCUGCUAGCAUAAAUUGAUUUCUGAAAUUAAUGAUGAUCUUUUCUAUACUAUACAUCAUCACCAUACAACAAUCUUUUUUCUUUAUCUUUUUUCUCGUUGUUAAAUUAUCUGAUGGCUUGAAUAUGCAUGAUUUUGCCAAACUCAAUUGUUACGGAAAACUAUAAGUAAUGCUAUCUUUCACAGGAUCAACUAUAAGCUUUUAUGAGUUUAUGUUGCAACAAAAAAAAUGUUUACACUUGUACUGUAAUUUCACUGCAAUCUUGAUAGGGGCUAAGAAAUGGUACAUUUACACAGGUUAUCGUUGGACAAGCAGCUGUGCAGAGGUGCAAUGCAACUGUCAACUUCCAUGAUGAAGUGAAUCCUUCCUAUCCUCCAACUAUAAAUGAUGAUGGCUUGCACGAGCAGUUUCGAGAUGUUGCGGUGAAUUUGCUCGGUGCAGAUAAAGUUCACAUUGACAUGCCGCCAAUGACGGCUUCUGAAGACUUCUCAUACUAUCAAAAGGUCAUGUCUGGCUACUUCUUUUUUCUUGGGAUUCAGAAGGAUCACCGGCCUCAUUUUUUGCACUCACCGUAUCUCAUGAUCGAUGAAGAAGGUCUUCCUUAUGGAGCUGCACUUCAUGCCUCAUUAGCUAUUAAUUAUCUUCAAAAACAUCAGCAACAAGGACCAACGGGGGAAGGGAAAUUUCGUGAUGAGUUAUAGUUGUUAUUAACCAUUUUAAGCUUCCAGCCUUAAGGGAAUUAUAAGUUAGAAUUUCCACUUGGAAAAUGUUACUGCUAUCUUGAUGUAAUUCCUUUCUUCAUAGUACACGUAACUUCAACUUGAAUAACAAUAAAUUUUCAUUCACACCUAUUUAGGUACAAAUUUAACUGAUGAGCAAUGUGACAUUAGAUAGGAAUUUUGUGGAUUAUUAAAUCUAGCAGCUUAUGAGUUUGAUGUGUUUCAAUGACCAGGUAUAGUUGCCAACUUGGGUUGGCACAACCGAUUACCGGUUCAGGGUUUAACUCUCGUCUCCCCAUAGGUCGAGGAUUCAAAUCCCCCUGGAUUCAGUAAAAUCCUAGUUGGUGGGCAAUUCUCCUCGAAGAGAUCCCCCGGCGCUCCUACAUGGGAGUGGCCCUUUGUUGGCCUCCUCAGCAUGUCAUUGACGCCAUAUCCGAUAUCUGAAGGUAUUAUCUCUCCGUUCUAUCAUUCUUUGUAUAUAAAAAAAAAUAAAAAUAACAAGUUUACAAUUCUUAAAUUUCCUGUUGUUUUAUAUAUUGCUAGUCUAAGUAUAUUUUCUUUUUGAUAUUCCUUCAUAUUCUUUUGAGGCAGUUAAUAAUGUCAUUUCGUUCAACCAUUCUACUAAUAUUUCUCUUCUAUUUUUUACAGUCUAAAUUUAGUAUGUUUCUAUAUUUUACUACUAACCUCUUAUAUGGUGUUCUAUAUGGUUCUUUUUUAUAAUCAUAAUUACGUUAAAUUUCACUAAAAUUUCUUUUCUUAGUUGAAGUUUCUCCUUCUUCACACAAAUGGAGGUUUUGGAGCCAUAUAAUGAAUUGUCAUAACCAGAAUCACAAAACUGCAUAAUGGUUCACGUUCUUUCUAUCUUGGACAGAACCACAUAUUUGAUGGGAAAUAAGCAGGGGCUGGAACUUGUUGGAAUUGUGCCUUUUAAUUAGGGGCGGAGCCACAAGGGUGGCUUACCGGUGCUCCGCGCCCCCGAGUCUUUUCGAUAUUCAUUUCGAAACUAUGUAUAUUUUUCUUCUAGCACCGGUGAUAAUUAAUAUAAUUUUCAACGUAGAAUAGAUCAUGUAACGCACAAUGGCGUAGCGGUUUGCACAUGAAAGGAUUUUCUACAUGUCGUGGGUUCGAAUAAAUGAUAGGACUAGGAAUCGAACCUCCUACUCCUAGGCUAAAAGUUUCAUAGGCAUGUUUUCCACUAUGCUGGAAGAAGUUUAUCCUUAUAUUUGAAAAUUUUAUAUAUUUAUACACAAACAUAAUAUCAUAAUUGGACACUUUCUCAUCUCAAUUCAUUUACACAUAUUUUUUUUUGAAGAAUUUACUAACAACUAACCACUAACAUUUGCCUAUAAAAAAAUAUCAAAUCAUUUUGAUUAUUGUUUGAUAAAAUUAUGUUUAAUAUAAUGAAGUUUGAUAAAAUAAAGGAUAAAAAAUUAAAUUUGUAAGAUAUUAAUUAUACGUAAAAGUAAGUUCAAAAAUAAACAUUGUUUAGAUAAAAGAAAACAAAAUUAAUUUUUUAUUUGAUAUUUAGUCACCCCGGUGUCAAAAUCCUGGCUCCGCCCCUGCUUUUAAUGUUUUGUUUAGUUUCUGUUGGGUAGCUCUAGUUUAUCCUGUAAUGAAUUUCUUGUACAAACUCCAUUGUAAUAUGGGUUAGGAAUCUCUUGUGCUUACUUAUAUUCAUUUGGCUUACAAAAGAAAAUACCAACUAGGUAGCCAUAUCUUGUUAGUUGCCCUCUCCGUGCACUGAUUAUUUCAUCUAGCGAAUAGACUUCUUCUCUUGAAAUUAAAACUACUAGGUGUAUGAGAAACCUAGGUCGUUACCUCCGCUAACAGUUACGACAAUGAUUCCCAAAAUAUGCUUUGAAAUUUAUACUCAAACACAUAUCAAAAGACUCAGUCCUCAAAUUUCCAAUACUAGUCAAACUAUUUUAAAACAACAUUCUCACUCUCACAUCAUUCAAAAUUCAACAAUUGUAAGUAUAGACAUGCUCAAAAUCAAUUAAAUAAAAUUCAAAGCUUUGAAGAGAUUCGUGAAUGAUAAAACAAUACAAAAGCGACUGUAUUAGAGUAAAAAAUUAGCGUCAGACUUGACGCCGAUGUUAACUUUUUCUCUUUAGUGUCAGCUAAACUGACGUUAAACAUCAAUUUAAAAUUAUAUUCUACUUAAUGAUAGAGUCGUCCAAACUGACGACGCUACUUAGCGGCGACUCACCGACCAUUAACGCCGUUUAUAUCCACCGCUAAAAUCAACAACCAAUUUAGCGCCUUCCCGCCGUCCAUUAGGAGCGAUUCUUAACUGAUGCUAAAUUCAUCAGCCAACUUAGUGUCAGUUAUGACUAACACUAGCAUGAAGUGGAUCCGACCCAUCUCUUGGUCAUAUAAGUUAGUGUCACCUUUGCAUUUCGUUUGAUUGAGAAGAGAAAUAAAAAAGAGAGAAGAUGAAUAAAAAUAAAGUAGAUCUUUCAAAUUGUUUAGUGUGAUAUAAAGCGAAGAGAAAGAAUGUGGUGAAGAAAUGAGAAAUAAAAUAAAAAAAGAAUUUUUAUCUUAAAAAUAUUUAUGGCUGUCAAAAACACCAUUUACACCAUUUUUGUUCUAGCAUUUAUGACCUCAAGUAUAUGGUAAUUCUGAAAAGGACAAAAAAAGCUCUCUGUCCCUUCUCCUCCCAAAAUGGUAGUGAGAUCCAUCUUCCAACCUCCCCCUUCCCCCUCUCUUUCUCCCUCAUCAAACAAAGUUGCUUCUCUUUUCUAUUAUUAUGUAACUCUAUCAUCUUUCUCUCUUCACAAACUAACUUAUAGCGGAACCACCCCCAAGGUGUGAACGACCAUAUCCAUUUUUUUUAUAAGCUUUAUACAAGAUAUGGUUAGUCUCAUAUUGGUGUAUUGCAAAUGAGAGAAAACCCACUCCAAAGCUGACCCACCUAAUGUGAUGUUGUGACAUGGAAUGUUUUUUUAUGUUACAAGAGGAAAGAAUUGUGAGAUUGGAAUAUAAUGGCUUUAACUUUAAUGGGUGAUGAUUGUAUUUAGAAAUAGAAAAACAAAAUCUAGAGAUGUCCUGUAGGGUUGGGACCUACCGCACUACUAUUCUAUUGAAACCUUUCUGGCCUGUCACUGUAGUGGUCAUUCCGGUUUCUGACUUUAUUCUUCAUUUCAUUCAUUCUCUCCUACUUCCACACCAAAAUUAACAAGCCAUGGCUUUCUUCAAAGGCUUCCAUUUUUUCAUCAUCAUUUUGCAAGUCUUUGCUGCAAUAUCCAUUUUCUCAUUAGCAGCUUCCUCCUUCACCCAAAAUAAGCUCUUCACAAACUUCCUAGACUAUGCUAAGAAGCCUGAGCUUUUUGAUUGGAUGCUCACAGUCAGAAGGAAGAUACAUCAGUUUCCUGAAUUGGCCUAUCAAGAAUUUCAAACCAGUGAAGUAAUAAGAGGGGAAUUGGAUAAGUUGGGGAUCCCCUAUAAACACCCUGUUGCAGAAACUGGUGUUAUUGGCUUCAUAGGGUCUGGAAAGCCACCUUUUGUUGCUUUAAGAGCUGAUAUAGAUGCUCUUCCUAUGCAGGUAGCUUUGAUAAAUUCUAUUUCUAUUUACCCUUUUCUUGAUAUAUAUGCUUCAAGUUGAAUCAGGGUUUUGACUUUGAUUUCUUGAAUUUUUUAUAGGUAAAAAAUAUUGUUUACCCUUUCCUCAAAUUUUAUUGACAUUUGAUAAUGUAUAAACCCCAGGAAAUGGUGGAGUGGGAGCACAUGAGUAAAGUACCUGGAAAGAUGCACGCUUGUGGUCAUGAUGCUCAUAUUACCAUGCUUCUUGGUGCUGCAAAGAUUCUCAAACAAGAAAAAGAGAUAAAAGUGUGACCUUUUAUACCGCCUUCUUUGUUUCCGAUAAAUUUCUGUAUGUUCUGUUUUAUUUUUCCUGCUCAUACUACUAUGUUUAUAUGUGUGCUGUUUUAUUUUUCCUCGGAUACUAACUGUCACUGACUCACUCACUGGUCCCUACUAUCAGGCCCUUUUGAUGAUUUCAUGCAUUUUCUCAUAAAAAGAAAAUAUUAUUGCAUAAUUACAACUUACAAGUCAGUCAAAGCCAAAUAUCUUUGAAAAAUUGAUGACAAAUUAUCCAUCUUGUCAUUUUUUCUUUGAAAAUCACAAACAUUAUGUAAUCUGUCAUACACCUUAUUUAAUCUGAUUUUUAAUCAUCCUACGUUCUUUUUAUUGUAAUACAAUCUAGAAUUAACGAAAGAAGUUGGCCCCCAUAUCAUUAGUGCUACUUUUUAUCUGAACUGUGUUAUUCUGCUCAUCUGCUGUCUUCAUCCUGUCAUGGACCCCUGAUAAGUUGGUUAUUUGCUGUCUAAACAGGGAACUGUUGUUCUAGUUUUCCAACCAGCAGAGGAAGGAGGUGCAGGGGCUAAGAAAAUUUUAGAUUCUGGAGCCUUGGAAAAUGUAUCUGCUAUCUUUGGAUUGCAUGUGUUACCUACGCUUCCAGUAGGUGAAGUUGGCUCCAGGUCUGGUCCUAUAAUGGCAGGAUCUGGUCGCUUUGAAGCAAAAAUAAGUGGAAGGGGAGGUCAUGCAGCUAUUCCUCAACAUUCUAUAGAUCCCAUAUUGGCAGCUUCUAAUGUAAUUAUUAGCUUACAACACCUUGUUUCUCGUGAGGCUGAUCCUUUGGACUCUCAGGUAAAUUUGGUUAAUUCUUCAUUUUCCCUUGUUUGUCAUGGUCACUCAUUACACUUACCUUUGUAUGAAAUUCUGAAUCCAUAACUAUGUAUGGACAUCAGAAAGCACAGGUACUAGGAAAAUAUUGGCACAGACCUUCACCUGCUUUAUCUACAUAAACUGACUUAUUAGAGCUUUUCAACUGUAGAUAUAAUUUGAUUCAACCUUGGUUCCAAGGAUCGUUGUUAUUUAAUAUGCUAAGAUUAAGAAUGCUACUGCAUUCCUUUUAAAAAACUAAGUGGUUAGCUAGGCUGCAAAGUUGAACCUGAUGGGCCUCCAUAUAGAGUUGAGAACCAUUCUGUUAUUUGCAAGUCCAAGCCAUUUAGUAAGUCCUGCUAAGUUUCUGGAUCACAAGGGAAUGGAUGUGGAAAAUAUGACCUGAGGGAGUGGGGGGAAGCUUUUAGUACCCCAGCUAGUGAAAAAGAUGAUAUAGAGGAACCCAAUUACAAAACAAACUUUUAGUGACAACUGAGGAAUAUGGGACCUUCAGUGUGUGUGUGUGUGUGAACUUUUUUAUAUGUGAUAUUUUAAAAAGAUGAAAUGCUUGUUUCCUAAAGGCUUGUUUAUGCAAAAAACAUCCUUGACUUCCUUACAUAAACUAUGCCCUGUAGGUUGUGACUGUUGCAAAGUUUCAAGGAGGUGGUGCAUUUAAUGUUAUUCCAGAUUAUGUCACAAUUGGUGGAACCUUCAGAGCUUUUUCCACAGAAAGCUUUGGGUACCUGAAACAGCGCAUUGAGCAGGUAUGCCAUGGAGAAGAAUAGAUUCAUAAACUGAAAUCUGAAAUUAUUGAUCUUUUCUAUAAUAAUCUUUAUUUUGGUUGUUAAACCUGAUGGCUUGGUUAUGAUUGUGUUAAACACCACAGAGGAUGUGACAUCAUGAAUAACUUGUUAGCUUACUAUACGUCAAACUUAACUUUUAUUUAUAAGUAACGCUAUAUUGCAUAGGAUCAACUAUAAGCUUAAAUAUUUGUAUAGGUAUAGUCAAGGAAAAUUGAGUGCAGCACUAUAAUAUCAUGAAUUUGUAUCUUAAUUAUUACUUCAUUCAGUCAUUAUUAGAUGAACUAAAUUUAUUAUAAUCAACUUGAAGUUUUGGUGCAUUAAAUUUUUUUUUUUUGACAAGAAUACUCUUACUUAGUUGAAGUUUCUCUCUAUUUCCACUCUCAAAUCUAACACAUUAAUGAUGAAUAGAAAUUAAGAAAAGUGGGUUAUGACUUAUGAGUAAUUUUGAAAAGUUGAUCUAAAUUGAGAACAAAUUUAAUGCUACCAACUACAUUUCUUAAGGUGUGUGACCGUGUAAGGUAGUUAUUUGGUUCAUAUAAUAAGGAGGGGGGUAUCAUAUAUAAAAUCAGGGCACUUAACUGAGAUUAGAAACAUAGCACACACAAACUACAGGAACUAUACUCUGAGGCAAUUUUUCUCUGGUGCAUCACGCAUAAAAGCCAAGCCAACUCAAAUGGGCCCAAAAUCUACUAGAUCUUUAUCCUUUUGUUGCCUUGUGUCCUGCUUGUUGCAAAUAGCAUGUUAACUUAUGGAAUGGAAAUACUACAUACAUUUACAUUUCUGAUCUUUCACUGCAAACUUGGUAGGGGCUAUAAGAAUAUUGGCUCAUUUAUGCAGGUUAUCAUUGGACAAGCUGCUGUGCAGAGGUGCAAUGCAACUGUCAACUUCUUUGGUGAAGUGUAUCCUCCCUAUCCUCCAACCAUAAAUGAUGGUGGCUUGCAUGAGCAAUUUCGUUAUGUUGCGAUAAAUUUGCUCGGUAUUGAUAAAGCUCACAUUGACAUGCCACCGAUGACAGCUGCUGAAGACUUUUCGUUCUAUCAAAAGGUGAUGCCUGGCUACUUCUUUUUUCUUGGAAUGCAGAAGGAUCACCGGGAUCAUUUUUUGCACUCACCGUAUCUCAUGAUCGAUGAAGAAGGACUUCCUUAUGGAGCUGCACUUCAUGCAUCAUUAGCUAUUAAUUAUCUUCAAAAAUAUCACCAAGACAGACCCAUGGAAGAAGGGAAAAAUCGUGAUGAAUUAUAACUGUUUUUAAUCAUUGUAAGCUUCCAGCCUUGUAUUGUAUAUUAAGUUAGAAUUUCCACUCGUAGAACGAUAAUCUUUUGCUGUUAUCACUUUCUUCACUGGACACGUGAGUUCAACGUGAAUAAAUAGCUUUCUUUUCUCUAGUACUCUGAAAUUGAUUACUUCCUCUUUUUAUAUCUGUCAAUUUUUACAGUUUUGACACAUAUUACCAACAAGAUUAAUGUUCUUUAGAGUUGGCAGAACUGUGCUGUGCAUUCUCAUACCACAUUUGGAGGGUAAGGAAUAGGCUGUACUUUGAGGGAAAGGAGACCCCGAAAGUUGUUUAAGCUCAUCAACUCGGGCAAUAGGUGCGUUUCAGCUUUAUGGAAGUUUUGAUUUAUCAAGAUUUAUCUUUUGCCCAGAUGCUACCGCAUAGGUUUGUUGGAUAUUUAAGAUGGAUAUGCUUCUUGGAUUCUUUCCCUGCAAAAAUUAUGUUGUCAUAUGCCAAUAGCAAAUGUAAUACCACCGGAGCUCGUGGAGCUACUCGAAUGCCAUGAAUAGAUUUUGCCACUAUUGCCUCUUCUGGACUUCAAUUAAUCAUAAUUGAAAAGGAAACAAAAGUUACACAACCCAUAACUAGACUAAUCCAAGAUGGAGGAAAGCCAAAUUAAGUAAGGGUGCUUUCCAUAAAAUGUCAUUCAACGCAAUCGUAAGUUUUAAACAUGUCAAGCUUUAAAGCCAUAUGUAUUUCCUACAACCCGCCCCUUAUUUUUCUUUUUUAUAAAGUGAAAGCAUUCAAACUCUACUAAAACAUUAUCUAUAAUGAGCCUAUUAUUAGGUACAAAAACUCUUUGAUUUUCAAUAAUAGACGGUAAAAUAUUUUUCAUUCUAUUUUCUAUUACUUUUGUGACUAGUUUGAAAAGGACAUUACAAAAACUAGUGGGUUGAUGCUUGCUGAUAUAUGUGGAAUUUUUGACCUAUGGAAUGAGAACAAUGACUAUGACAUUGAUAAAAACCUAGAUCUUUUUCGCUAUUAUAAAUCUAAAACACAAAAUUUGUACCCCUCCUGUGUGCCUGGGUCGGACACAUUUGAUUCAAAGCUUCUGCAACUUAAGGUAUGUAUAUUGACAAGAAAGAAACAUGCUAUGGUCCAUUGUAAUUCUGUUUCUAACAAGAGUUGAAGGAUCAUCACCCAUCAUGGUAGGUGAAGUUGAACUGAAGAGUUCUAUAAAAUAUGAGUUGAUCACCUCAGCUAUCUCCUCUUCCACAAAAUUUGAAUUUUUAAAUACUUUACACCAAACUCGUUCCAUUAUUAAACCUAAAUUCUAACUAGUGCCUAACAAUACUAUUAAAUACCUAAUCAUACCUCCAACACAUUAUAUUUAAUAUCUAACCAGUCAUCACUCUUCUCUUCAUUUCAUUCUCUCUCAAACCAAAAGAAACCAUGUCUUUCUGCAAAUGCUUCCAUUUUUUCAUCAUCAUUUUGCAAGUCUUUGCUGCAAUAGCCAUUUUCUCAUUAGCAGAUUCCUCCCUCACCCAAAACCAGCUCUUCACCAACUUCCUAGACACUGCCAAGAAGCCUGAGUUUUUUGAUUGGAUGGUCAAAAUCAGAAGGAAGAUACAUCAGUUUCCGGAAUUGCGGUACGAAGAAUUUGAGACCAGUAAAGUUAUAAGAACAGAAUUGGAUAAGUUGGGGAUCCCCUAUAAACACCCAGUUGCAGUCACUGGUGUUAUUGGCUUCAUAGGGACUGGAAAGUCACCUUUUGUUGCUAUAAGAGCUGAUAUGGAUGCUCUUCCCAUACAGGUAGGUUAGAUUCAUAAAUUGUAUAUACUUUUUUUUCUUGAUAUAUAUGCAAUAUGCUUGAAGCAGGGUUGACUUUUGAUUUCUGAAACUUUUAUGGGAUAACAAGAGCAUUGUUAUUUUUUCCUUUGCUCAAAUUUUAUUGACAUUUGACAAUGUAAAAACCCUAGGAAUUGGUGGAGUGGGAGCACAUGAGUCAAGUACCUGGAAAGAUGCAUGCAUGUGGUCAUGAUGCUCAUACUACCAUGCUUCUUGGUGCUGCAAAGAUUCUCAAACAGCAUGAACAAGAGAUAAAUGUGUGACUUUUAUACUGCCUUCUCUGUUUCCAUUUUCUUUCUAUUGUUCUGUAUACUGUUAUAUAUGUUCUGCUUUAUUUUUUAUUCGUUACUACUCUUCCGACAUGUGGUCACUCGCUCACUGGUCCUUACUGUGUGGGCAUGGUUUCUUACGUUUUUUCUCAUAAAACAAAAUAAAAAUUUGUUGCAUAAAUUCAAUUAUGUCAAAGCCAAGUAGUAUCUCUUCAGUUUCUGUCAAAGAAACAAAUUGCUGCCAAAUCAUUCAAUCAUGCCAACUUUUUUUAUAGUAAAUCACAAGCAUUCUAUCAUCUGUCAUACACAUCCUUAAUUAAUCUUCUUAGAUUUUCUUUUGACUAAAAUUUAGGGUAAGAGUAUGGUAUCCCAAUCCAAGAUAGGAACCGGACUUAAACAACACCUAGAGUAUACUUACAUUUACCACACCUCAAGUGGCCAAGUGGGGGCUUGAGACCUGUCACAUAUGAGACAUUGUCAUGCUUCACUCAACCAAUCCUUUGGGUUUACCUUUUUAUAGUUUAUGUUAGACCUAACUCUACUCCAGAAGUUAGUUAAAGUGAAGUUGCUCAACCCUUUAUCAGAGUACUUUGGUCAUAUCUCUAUUAAACAUGUAACAUCUCAACAAAUCUCCUCUUUCUAUUGUAAUACAAUCUAGAAGACACUAAAGAAGUUGCCCAGCUUAUCAUUCUACUAUACCAGGACAUUCAUCCAUGUCUGCCACAGUGCUACUUUUUCUCUCAAUUGCCUUAUUCUGCUCUCUUCACCCUAUCAUGUAUCCUUGAUAAAUUGGUUAUGUGCUGUCUAAACAGGGAACUGUUGUUCUUGUUUUCCAACCAGGAGAGGAAGGAGGUGCAGGGGCUAAGAAAAUUUUAGAAUCUGGAGCCUUGAAAAAUGUUUCUGCUAUCUUUGGAUUGCAUGUGUUACCUACUCUUCCAGUAGGUGAAGUGGCCUCUAGGUCUGGUCCUAUGAUGGCAGGAAAUGGUCGCUUUGAAGCAAUAAUAAAUGGAAAGGGAGGUCAUGCAGCUAUUCCUCAUACUUCUAUUGACCCGGUUUUGGCAGCUUCCAAUGUAGUUAUUAGCUUACAAUACCUUGUUUCUCGGGAGGCUGAUCCUUUGGACUCCCAGGUAAUUUUGGUUAAUUCUUCAUGUCCCCUUGUUUGCCAUGGUCACUCAUUUAAACUUAUUUUUGUAUGAUAUUCUGAACCCAUAACUAUGUAUGGAUAUCAGAAAGAACAAGUAAUAGGAAAAUAUUGGCAGAGCCUUAUGGAUAACAUUCAUCUGCUUCAUUCUGCCUAAAAUGACUUAUUAGCACUUUUUAACAGUAGAGGUAAUCUGAUACAGCCUUGUUUCUAAGAAUAUUACUACAUUCCAUUCAACAAACCAAGUGGUUAGCUGCCAGUGUUUUAAAUUGCGGUAGUGGUAGAGCAUCCAUGGUCCAUAUAGAGUGAGAACCAUUCUGUUAUUUGCAAGUCCAAACCUUUAUUAAUCCUUCUAAGUUUAUGGAUCACAAGGGAAAGGAUGGGAAAAAUGAGCUAAGAGUGGCGAGAAGCUUUUAGUAUACCAUCAGUGAAAAAGAUGAGAAAGAGAAAUCCAAUUACAAAACAAACUUUUACUGAUAACUGAGGAGUAUGGGAGCUAGACCCUUAGUGUGUGUGUGUGUGUGUGUGUGAACACUUACAUAUGUCAUAAUUAUUAUAUGUGAUAAUUCCUGAUUACUUAAAAACUUAAAGGCUUGUUUAUAACCAAAAUUCUCCUUGUCUUCCUUACAUUUUAUAGGUUGUGACGGUUGCAAAGUUUCAAGGAGGUGGUGCACUCAAUGUUAUUCCAGAUUAUGUCAUAAUUGGUGGAACCUUCAGAUCUUUUUCCACAGAAAGCUUGGAGUACCUGAGACAGCGCGUUGAGCAGGUAUGUCAUGGAGAGGAAUAGAUUCCUUCUACAUGCAUAAACUGAAAUUAAUGGUCUUUUCUAUAAUAUACACCAUCACCUUGCAAUAAUCUGUCCUUUUGUUCUCUAAUUUAUUUUGGUUGUUAAACCUGAUGGCUUGGUUAUGAUUGUGUUAAGCACUAUAGAGGAUGUGACAUCUAGAUUAAUUGGUUAUCUUUGAUAGGAUCAACUACAAGCUUCAUAUAGGGGUAGUCAAAGAAAACUUUGAGUGCCGCACUAAUAUCAUGUUUUUGUAUCUGAUUACUCUCAUGCAAAAAAUCUGGGAAUUUAUAACUGAGAGUAGAAGCAUAGCAUACACAAGCUACCGGAACUAUAUUCUGAGGCAAGGGCAGAACCAGAAAAAGUUGGAAGGGGAGGAAAUUUAACACGAUAAUGAUGAAUUAAAAGAGGCCACAGAAAAUAUUUUAGGGAGACAAAUAACGUUUGAAGACUAUUAAAUGAUUUCGUUCUCUUGGUAGGGGCUAAGGAUGGUUCAUUUACGCAGGUUAUCGUUGGACAAGCUGCUGUGCAGAGGUGCAAUGCAACUGUCAACUUCCUUGAUGAAGCGAGUCCUUCCUAUCCUCCAACUAUAAAUGAUGGUGGUUUGCACGAGCAGUUUCGUGAUGUUGCAGAGAAUUUGCUUGGCGCCAAUAAAGUCCACUUUGACAAGCCACCGGUCACGGCUUCUGAAGACUUUUCAUUCUAUCAAAAGGUGAUACCUGGCUACUUCUUUUUUCUUGGAAUGCAGAAGGCCUCAAAUGAUCACCGGGCUCACUUUGUGCACUCACCCUAUCUCGUGAUCAAUGAAGAAGGACUUCCUUAUGGGGCCGCACUUCACGCAUCACUAGCUGUUAAUUAUCUUGAAAAAUAUCUGCAAGAUGGACCCAUGGCGGAAGGGAAAUAUCGCGAUGAAUUAUAGAUGUUAUUAAUCAUUACAAACUUCCAGCCUAAGUUAGAAUUUCCACUUGUAUGAGUAUGAUAAUCUCUUGCUGUAAUCUUUCUUUUAUAAAAUAUUUUGAUAAUGUGAAUCACUUACUUAACUGGUUACUUCUCACUAACUAUAAUCUAUUUGUGCUGUUUAAUUUUCCGAAGCUCAUAUCAUAGAAAAAUGUUACUUUUUUUAUGAAUGUAUAAAGUAGACUCCAUUUCUUUUAUGUCUUAUGUGUUGGGUUAUAUAUUCCAAUUCUUUAAACUUCUAAAUUCUUGGCAGACGUUUUAGGAGCUUCAUUGUGCUAUUUACACUUGACAAAGCUUGGUUUAUUAAUCUGUUAAUUAGAUAAAUCCAUUUUAUCUGAAGUAUAAAGUACUUGAUAAUAUUUAUUUUGCUAGUAGUUUCUCUGUAUUCAGUUCCCGCAGACUUAAAGAACUAUAAGUGUGCUAAAUUAGAAGAAAUAAGUAGGAGUAUUUUGCAGUUUGUGGUGGUUACAACACCAGUAAAAUUUGAGUAUGAGUAUUGCUAAUACCUAAUGGUUUUUGUGGUGGUUAAUCAGGCCGUUUCAAACUGCCAGUACCGCCAUUCAACCAGUGGCGGUUGGUCAAAACUGCUGCAAAUUGAUCACCUGAGGCUGCUUUCUCCCAACCGCUGCAGUAUAUAUUUGCGGCGAGUGAAACCACCGCCGCAAGAUUUUUAUUAGUCUUUUCUAAUUUGCAGGUUUCAUUGAAGUGACGUGGCUGUUUCUUGUGUGGACUUAUUCCCCUUGCACAAACAUUUUCUUGACAAUAUGAUCGGCCAUAUUGAAGAUUUGUGUUGUGAGAAACAUAUUAAAUCCUUGGCAUAAUCUAAUGGUGGACGAAUCUGCACGAGCCAUUUUACCGUGAGUAUUCAACGCAUAAAUGUUGAUGUUGGGCGCACAUAUGACAAGACUGGAUGCACAUAUGCGCUCAUGUGUCACGUGAAGCAUCCCCAAUAUGAAAUUAGCUAGAACUUGUGCUACAAGCCUAGCAAGACUCGUAUGAAAUAUUAUAUUUGAAUAGCUCAACUGACCAAACUAUUAUCCGAUUAGUAAGAUCCAACUUAUAGAUUACCUGUCUAAUGGGUUAAUCCGUGUGAACCAUAAUCUUGCGGGUUUGAAUAUACUGCCUCAAUCUCCUUGCAAUUACAAUUAGGGUGAAAACUAUUUUUCUCAAUUUUUGAUAUAUGAUUUUUUGACCUUGCAACAUUUUGCUUACAAAGUAGACCACAGCCUUUUCCCCUCAUGAAUUUCUCAAAUUAGCAUGACAUUUACCGUCUCCUCAUUGAUCCCUAGGUAGAUGAUGCUUGGCCAGAAUUGAUGCUAACCCGGAUAACUUGCUUUUCCCUAUCAGCCUGCGGCGGCCUGCCUGUCACACUUUGAUGACUUUUUUACCUGGGUAGUGUAAAUUUGGAGUUUAUUUACCAAUCUAGUGCAACUUUUAAAAUAUUUACGAGACUAGCGUAAAUCGUCACUAGCAUCGGCGAUAUAUUUUUUUUUCUUCUCAGCUUUUGGAGAAAUCGCCAAUGGGACUGACGAUAUUCAAUUUUUUGUGGUAUCGUCAAUGCGGUUGGCGUUAAUAUUAUAUAUAUAUAUAUAAUAUAUAUUAAAAAAAAGAGUAUCGCCAUCAUGAGUGGCGAUUUUAAUCUUUUAUAAACAAUUUUUUUUGUUUUAAGCAACAACGCCAACACCAUUGGCGACUUCUUUUUAUUUUCAAUACUAAAAACAUAAAUAUAAUAGCCCUGAUUGCAUGCAUGGAUGUUUUUUUUUCUUACAUGCAUCCAUUUAAUAUAUAUUUAGGUUUUAAAACUAUUAAGUAUUAACUACGUCAAGGUGGAAAAAAAAACAGAAGGAAGCGAAUCCUAUAAGCAUUAAUGGUUUAAAAUUAAAAAUAACACCAACACUAACUGCGACACUUAAAGAAAAUAUAUAUAUAAUAUUUGGUUAACGCCAAUCUCAACGGCGAUACUAGAAAAAUAUAUAUAUGUCGCCACGGCUGUUGUCGAUUUAACUCAAAUGAAAAAUAUGAAAAAUAUAUAUAUAUAUAUAUAUAUAUAUAUAUAUCGCCGAUGCUAGUGGCGAUUUACACUACAUCCGUAAAUAUUUUAAAAGUUACACUAGAUUGGUAAAUAAACUCCAAAUUUACACUACUCAAGUAAAAAAGUCCACUUUGAUGAAGAAAAUUGCUUCGCCAGCUAACCGGGAUCACUGUGUCACGUAACGUGAGUGUAGUCUUUUUCUACUUUUAGUUUUUGUUUUCUUCUUUCCCCCUUCACAUAAUCUGACAUAUAACCAGUUGUUUUUAAUGCUUCCCACAUGUCGUUUUUUUUUGGUAGAUACAUGUCGUUGAACUUGAUAGCGCUCUGAGAAGUUGUUUUUUUAUGUCUAAAUUACUAAUAUUUAAAUUAAGGAAGUACAUGCGUGUAACACAUGGGUUUAAAAUACAAAAGUUCUGAUUUUUGAGUGCGUGUAAUUUUGAUGAGUUUAGACCGUCAAUCCACUAGAAUUUAAAGAUGCAUCACAUCAUAUCAAUCAAAUAAAUUAUUUUUGGCCUAAUUUUUUCAAAAUUCCCAAGGGCAACUUAUUAUUUUUUCAAACUCUUGAAAAAAACGUAGUAUUUAAUUUGACCAGCUUGUUUUUUUUUUAAGUUUUCGCAGCGUUUGGUUGAGAGUUUGAAAAUAAAUUCGAAGGAAUGAUAUAUUUUUUGAAAAGAGAUUUAUUUAUUUCUUUAAAAAAUAGAGAUUUAUUUAUUUAUUAGCCUAUGUGACAGGUCUUCUUAACAAAUGAAGCUCAUUUUCAUCUUAAGAACUAGUGGAAUUACCCGUGCCCUGCACGGGUGACUUUUGUUAUUUACAAUUUAAAUUUCAUGUAAUAUUAUGUUUUGUAUCUUUUUAGUAAAUAUACUUUAACAAUUGUUUCAACUAUAUGUUAUUAAUAGUGAUAAUUGUGUAUUAAUCUACCACAAUUUUUACUUAUUUAAAUAUGAAAAAAAUUAAAUAUUUUAAAUUAUAAGACUUAAAUUCACUCAAAUUUUUAUAUAUGCAUUAAAUCAGUAUUUUAAUUUUUUAAUACAUGUUUAAUUAUUAAUAUUUGAUUGAUUAUUUUCAAUAUCAAUGUUUCUAUUUAUAAUUGCAAUAACACUAAUAAUAAUAUAUAUAUUUUGAUUCAAAAUGUUUGGUGAAUGUGCAUUUCCUUAAGGGAUUUCACCUAGACUUCUGGCCCGGGUUCGAUCUCCUCUAAGGUAAAAUAUAAUACAUUUGUGGUUAGGGACAUCACUACCGUAUCCCGAGCCAGAUUACUCACGUUGGGCCCUUUUCCCCCGUGGUGACUGGUGGGCUUCUCUUAUUUUUGAAUAAACUCUCAUGUGACUAUUACUUUUAAGUUUGAACCCGUUCCCCUUUUUUGUCUUUGGCUCUUCGAUCGUACCUUUGGUAACCACCGCCUACCAGGGACGAUGGAGGAAAAAUUCAUUUUAUCAAUCCAAGCAGAUAAAUUGAAGGAUUUUCGUCUUUCCCCUUCAUGAUUUAAAAAAGUGGUGAAACAAUAUAUGAUGGUAAAUAAAAAAUGGAUGAAUAAGUAAUUAAUAGGAUCAUGAAAUAGGGGCUUCAUAACCGAACCAAACCAAUUAAAACCGCUCAAAUCGAUCAAAAAAACCAAAAACUGAAAAAACUGAAAACCGCAAAAAUCAAUAUUUUGCUAAUGGAUCGGAUUGGUUUUCAGUUCCAAUGUUCUAAAUUGAGCCGAUCCAAACCAAACCGAAAGUAUUUAUUUAUUUAAAUUUUGACAUACAUAAUUAGCCAUUUAACAAAACUUAUAAUAUUUUAUUCCAUGUAUACCCAAGCCUUUACAGUAAUGUGUUUAACAUUUUCCAAGUUAGGAGACAUAUGUCUUCUUUUCAUUCAGCGAAAGUGAAACAUAUCAUUGCGUACAUAAUUCAUUUCUUACAGUAUUGAUGUUAGUGUUAAGCAUGAUAUCUUGUCUCUGUAACUUUUACAGUGCUUCUUGUUUUAUGAUUUUAUUUUCUAUUUCGUUAUGUAUUUCAUGAUUUUUAGUUUCUUUGAAAAACUGAAAUCCAAUCCAAUCCAAACUGAUAAAAAUUGGAUCAGAUUUGAAAAAAAAAAGAUUGGGUGAUUAAAUUAUAAAACCGAAACGAUCGGAUCAGAUGAUUUUUUCCUUUAAAACCAAAUCGCGAUCACCCCUAUCAUGAAACAUGAAAUAAAUCAUUUUACACAACAAAUAAAAAUGAGUGAAUAAGAGGAUAAUGUAACCAAUAAUAAACUUAUAAUAUUGCGAAUUUGCGAUCAUAUAGUGGUGGGGGAGAAUUAAAAAAUAAAAAAUGGAAAUAAAACUCUGAAAACAUUAAAUCAAAAUAAGAUAAACACAAUGCCACAAAGAACGUGUGAAAGAGAAUGUUAUAGAUUAAAGAAAUAAUGUGAGAAAUGUCUCAAAAGAGAAAAUGAAUUCUCUAACCAAUGCACAUGUAUAGCAAAAUUAAUUAUUUUUGCAUUAAGAUAAAAUUAAAGCAUUACCUUGCACAUGAUUGAUAAAUUAUUUUUCUCUAUAGUUGUUUUAAAUGAAAGAAAAAUUGAAGGUGAAAGUUCCUUAACAUGAAAUUGAAUAAAGAAUUGAGAAACAGAAAAAUGAAAGGGAGGAAAGAGAGGAGUAUGAAAAAUAUGGAAGAAAGUUGAAAAUACUUACCAUGGAGUAGACGAACGGAGAAAAAAACAGGAUGGGCUUUUUUCAUAAGAAAUUUCAAAGAUGGGAGGAAGAAGUAUAAGAUGAAUAGGAAAUGGAGGAAAAUGAAAGUCCUUGCCUUGUUUUCGAGGAGGUAUGCACAAAAGGAUGCUGAAAUAUUUUGAUUUAUUAAUGUUUAAUUUUUUCCUAAAAUAAAAUACUCAUUAUUGGUCAAUGAAAAAUUAAUCAGAAAUUAAACAUAUCAACAAAAUUAUUUGUAUUAAAUGUUCUAAGGAUUCAUUAAUUAAAUUAUAUCAAAAUGUUAUAGAUUAAAUAAAUAAUGUGAGAAAUGUCUCAAAAGAGCAAAUGAAUUCUCUAACCAAUGCACAUGUAUAGCAAAAUUAAUUAUUUUUGCAUUAAGAUAAAAUUAAAGUAUUAUCUAGCACAUGAUUGAUAAAUUAUUUUUCUCUAUAAUUGUUUCAAAUGAAAGAAAAAUUGAAGGUGAAAGUUGCUUAACAUGAAAUUGAAUAAAGAAUUGAGAAACAGAAAAAUGAAAGGGAGGAAAGAGAGGAGUAUGAAAAAUAUGGAAGAAAGUUGAAAAUACUUACCAUGGAGCGGAGAGAAAAACAUGAUGAGUUUUUUUCAUAAGAAAUUCCAAAGAUGGGAGGAAGAAGUAUAAGUUGAAUAGGAAAUGGAGGAAAAUGAAAGUCCUCACCUUGUUUUCGAGGAGGUAUGCACAAAAUGAUGCUGAAAUAUUUUGAUUUAUUUAUGCUUAAUUUUUUCCGAAAAUAAAAUAUUCAUUAUCGGUCCAGGAAAAAUUAAUCAUAAACUAAACAUAUCAACAAAAUUAUUUGUAUUAAUGUUCUAAGGAUUCAUUAAUUAAAUUAUAUCAAUUUAAUUUCGAAAAUGUGGAAUAUUUCAUUUUAAAAAUUCAAUUCUUUAAUUAAUCUUGUCUAAUUUAAUUAAAUUUUUUUCGUUAUUUCUUACAAAUUAUUUCAUUGUUCCAAUAAAUUAUCAAUUCUUGAGCAUCAAGGUUUUUAAAAAUUGAAUUUCAAAAGACAAUUAAUUAAACUCAUUAAUUUUAGGAAUUAAUUAGAGCCAUUAAUUUCAAUUAUAAGAAAUAAAAAUUGUAGUAUCUAAAAUAGGAAUAUUUGUUCAAUUGCAAAAUUUUCGAAAAAUUCAAAAUAAAAAUAAAUGAUGCUGAAAGUUUUAAAAAAUAUAUUUAUUUUAGUUUCAAAAAUUUAUUUGCCAAGGAAAUUUGAAUUUCAAAAAAAAAUUUAAUUUAUCUUUUAAAAUCAUUUUAACCAUGAUAUUACAGAAAAACAAAUAAAUUAAUUUUAGAAAAAUAAAAAUUAAAAGAUCCAAUAUUUAUUUCUAUUUGAAAUAAUUACGAAUAUUUAUUAUAAUUAUUUAGCAUAUUAUUAAUUAAAAUAAAAGGAUUCGAAGUAUUUUUAUGAAUCGUAUAUAUCUUAAAAAAGAAUUUAAGGGAAAAUAAAAAUUGAAUUUUUUUAAUUAGAAUUGAUUAUUUUCAAAAAGUUUAAAUCUAAUAAUGAAUUUUUAAUAAUGAAUGAAAUGAAAUAGUUUAGAGAUGUUCAUGUAUUGUAUAAUGUUUUCGAAAAUAUGGAGGGGCAGAAAAUAAUAUUAUUUGGAAUUUAUAUCCUUACUUUGAUAGUUUUUAUAAGUAUUAAUUAUGUUUUAUUCUUAAAAAAUAUUUUACCUAUAUUAAACUUAGCAAUUAAUGUGACAAAAAAAAGUGGAAAUAUAUAUAUUUUUGUUUUGGAAGGAAAAUGAAUUACUUAUGAGACAUGUGGCACAGGUCUUCUAGAAGAAAACCUUCUUUUCAUAUAUAUAUAUAUAUAUAUAUUGAAAAAUUAAAAUAACAUUUACGUUGAAAAUUAAAUUAAUUUUAUUUACUGAUUUUUUAUUAUUUUUGUUCUAUUUUCGAAUUCAAUUUGUUUUAUUAUAUUAGAUAUAUUUUCAAAUAAAAUUCCUAGUGAAGGUUACAUAAAAAAUUGAAAUUAAAAAUCAAUAUUAUAUAUUGAAAAUCUGUACUUUCGUAACACAUGAAAAAUUAAAAUAAUAAUUACGUUGAAAAUUAAAUUAAAUAGUAUUUUUUCCGAUUUGAGAUUAUUUUUGUUUUAUUUUCGAAUUUAAUUUUUUUUCUUAUCAUAUUUGAUCUGUUUUCAAAUAUAAUUCGAAGUAAAGGUUAUAUAAAAAAUCGAAAUUAAAUAUUAAAUAUUAAAAAAUUAAAACAUUAAUUGCAGUGAUAAUUAAAUUAAAAAGGAUUUAGAAUAUUUUUGAACUUCUAAAUAAAGGUUACAUAAAAAUUGGAAUUACAUUAAAUGAUAUUAAAUAGUGUGAGUCAUGAUAGUGUGUUGUGACAAAAAAGUAGAAUGAGUUUUUUUUUCUUGGAGGGAAAUUGGAAGAAUUUGGGGGUGACAUGUGGCAUAGGCUUCUAGAAGGAAACAUUAUUUUCAUAUAUAUAUAUAGAUUGGGGGUUUGAAUUACGUUGAAAAAAGAAAGAAUUGAUUUUAUAUUUGUAUGUUUUUAUUUGAUUGGUGGGGUGUUAAUCAGUAUAGUAAGUGAAUAAUUAUGAACUGGACGCCGGCGCGAUGGCAGCGGCCGGUGAGACAAGCGGGGAAUAAUUAUGAACUGGGUCAAGGUUGGCGGCAGCCUUAUUAUUCAUGGGGAACCAACAUUGACCGAUGGCAUAACAAUCAAACAGAUAAGGGAGGAUUUCGAGCAAGACAGUGGCAACAUGAAGGUGGCAGAUCAGAGAGGUACAAGUCGAAAUGGAAACAGACAUUGUAUGAGAACAAGGGUGAUCCAAGGACCACACAUCCAGGGCACGAAUCUGAGCAACAAAACAGCGAACCCGUAAACAAUGCAUCACAACGAUUCAAGCCACAACAUAUAUCCUUUUCAGUUUUUGUGGAUGGCCUGGGAGACAGGAUGACGUAUCAGAAAUUGCAGACCACUUUUGCGAAGGCUGGGAAACUCCAUUCUGUAUUCAUUCAGCAGAAGAAGAAAUAUCAUCGACGCUUUCGUUUUGGCUUCUUGCGAUUCAACAGCGACGAUGAGGCAUGGAAGGCGAUUCAGAUGUUCCAUGGUCAGAGAUUAGAUGGAAAUUACCUUGUGGUCCAGAAAGCAAAUAUACAACGCCCGCCACGAUCGCCUGGGGUGCCUUCAUCAGGAAAUAAUAAGGUUGAAACCAAAAGGAAAAUUUGGAGACCGAAAGCAAAGCAACAUGACACAGUUCAAGAGCCUCUCCAAAUAAAUAAGGAUGUUUCUGGGCAGAUGCAAGGUGCUGUUAAGCAACCUACUGAAUGUCAGCUGCGUCUUGUUGGCGCUGAUUUAGAUGUAGAAUGGGUCAAUAGGUGUGCAAAGGCACGCACUCUGCUGUCUAUGCCUGUGGAAAUUUUACAGGAGCAAUUCAGGCAAAUUGGUUUGUUUAAUUUUCGACUGAUUCCAUUGGGUGCAGAUGCAGUUAUUCUGGAAUUUGAAACUAAGGAAGACAUGGAGGAGACAAUUGCAGAGUGCAGUUUCUUUUUAGAGCAGAAGUUAUACGAUGUACAGCCUUGUACUGUGCUUUCAUUUGGCGUGGCUCAGCUUGUAUGGAUUCGUAUGUGGCAGGUUCCGUUGGGAUUAUGGACUGAAUCCUUUUUCACCUCUGUUGGGAACAGGCUAGGGACAUAUGUAAUGUCUGAUACUGCCACUCUGUUACACCACAGAGCUGACUUUGCACGAAUUUUGGUUCGGAUGCAUCAUCCAAUUUUGCACAGUUUUACCAUGGCGGUUGAUGUUAAUGGUACAACCUGUAUUGUUUUGGUUGAGAAGGACCCGACAGUAUAUGAUUAUGGGGUUGUAGAAGCUAUGCCAUCGACACCGGUCAAAAUCUACAACUCAGAGGAUGAAGAAUGCAAUGAUGAAAGCAGCAUGGAUGAGAAGGAACGGGAAGCAGAUAUGGUUUUCACUGGUGCAUCAAAACCUGAUGCAAAUGACUAUGAAUCAGUGGUUGAUGUAGGGACCGAUGAAGAGGAUGAAGCAUUCAGGGAUGGUGCUGCAGAGGGUUUGCAGGUUUGGGUGGAGGAGCAUGUCCAAGCGCAGCCAAUUGUUUGUGUGGAGGAGCGCAAUUCCUUGACGGCGGAGGGAGAGGUGCCGCAGAUUCAAGGAUUUUCAAAUUCAAACAGCAAGGCAAAAAUUCAAACGGAGACAGCUACUAUUUCACGUGAGAAGCGUGAGGAACAGUUACAGGUGCUGGUUGAAUCAAGAUACACGUUACAGGAGAUUAAUAUGUGGAGAAAUAAUUUAAAAACAGAAGAUAUCUGUUUAAAUGCUAGCCAAAUCUUAGCUAAUUCGGUUCAAAAUAAGGAGAAGGGAUUUUCAGUUACAGGAUAUUCCUUUGAUACUCAAGAUUUGAACCAGAAAUUAGUUUUUGAUUGUUCUCUUAAUUCUUUAAAGCGGGACCCGUGUGUGUUUACUCAAAUUAAAAGGGUUGAGCCAUGUUUGCCUUUCAUGACAACUAAAGAAAACGGGUUUUAUGGCCUAGCAGCAACUUCUGCAAAUUCUCCAGCUUCUGAGGCACGUGGAAUAACUGAUAUCUUUGUACGUAAAACACCUCAUCAGAUAAUCAGGCAGCGAGCAAAUCCUCAAGCAACAGCACGCCUUGCUUCUUCUCCUCAAACGCACUCUCCACCGUGCUUCCCCAUCACGCAUCAGGUUGGUCCAUUUGCUGUUAACGCCUCUGUGACUCCGAUACAGGCAGAAACACCAACAACAAAUUCCUCCAAAAAGAGUUCUCAGCGGGGACGUCCAAAGGGGAGUAAAAAUAAACCGAUAGCUCUCCCAGUUGAUUUCUUAGAGCCAGUGCAGGGUGAAGACGGGGUGACAACUCGAGCUCAGAGAACCUGGUUACUUGGUAAACAAUUGGGGCUGAAACCGCGAGGAUCAGAAGCUUUGAUGCUUCGUGGUUUAGAGGCUCAGAUUCGUCAAAAUCAUCCCCAUCUCAUUUAAUAUGUCGGGGUCGUGGUUGACUUGGAACGUUCGUGGGCUUGGAGAUAGAACAAAAAGAGAGGCAGUCAAAAAGGCAGUGAUGCAAUUGAAACCAGAACUUGUGUUGUUACAGGAGACUAAAUUAAAUGAACAAAGGCAGCGUACAUUAGCUUCUUGGUCUCAAAGCUUGAAUAUGCAGCAUGCUGAAUCUUCCUCUGUUGGCUCAGCGGGGGGACUGAUGUGUUUGUGGCGGGAGAGUUAUCUGCAGGUCUUGUCAGUGGCAGUUGAAACAUGGUUUAUUCUUAUGACUGUGAAACUUCCUAAUCUUGAUAAUACAGUAUUGGUAGGAAAUGUCUAUGGCCCUCAUUCCGAGGCGGAACACAGAUAAUGUUUUGAGGCUCUUAUGCAACGUGUUAUGCGCCAUGGUGGUUUGGUGUGUCUUGGAGGUGAUUUUAAUGUAGUUCUGCUUGGAUCUGAACGGUCUUCAAGAGGUGUUUUAGAUGCGGGAGAUUUAUCCUUCCAACAGUUUGUGCAGGAUAGUAACUUACUGGAUUUGCCUCUGACCAAUGGAGAGUAUACUUGGUUCUCAAGCCGCAAUGAGGGGCUGUGUCUCGCCUGGAUCGUUGGCUGUUGUCUGAAGAGGUUAUGAGAAACGUUUUGGGGCUGCUGCAUAUUUUUCCAGCUGCUGUUUUGCUGAGAUAUCGAAAUUUGCUAAUUGCUGUUAGGAGCUUGCUGUUUUUAUUGUUGAUGUAUGCUGGUGCUGAUGUUAAUUUUGUCGUUGAUGUUGCUGCUGUUGAUGAUAUCGCUGUUGUUGUCGUUGCUGUUUGCUGCUGAUGUUAUUGCUGUCUUAGUUGCUGUUGCUGAUUUCUGUUUUGCUGCUGCUAUUACUGGUAUUUCUGUUGCUGUCGUUGCUAUGUUGUUGCUGCUGUUGCUGUCAUGUUUUCUCUGCUGUCGUAGAUAUCUAUUCUGCUGCUGUUGUUGCUGAUAUUGCUGUUGCUGUCGUUGCUAUGUUGUUGCUGACGGUGCUAUCCUAUCAUUGAUGUUUUUCCUUGCUGUCUUGCUGAUGCAAACCGCUCCUGUUUGGUUUAUGUGAUUUUGCUGUUUGGUUUUGGAGUUUGUUUUAUUGAUGACUAUUUCAAGUCUGCUACUCUGCAAAGGAAUAUCUACAGCGUCAGCAUUAAAUUCGAGCUUGUUAAUUAGUUUUGGUUUAGUUGCAGUUUGGUUUUCCCAUGUUGGUGGUACUCUUUUUCCUUGUUAGGUUUUUAUCCCAUUGGGUUUUUCCUAGCAAGGUUUUAAUGAGGCUCCUUCUUGGGAUUCUGUUAUAUGCCAUUCUGUGGGUUGGUGGUGGGUUUGUGCACUUUCAAUUUGCACCUUUGCUAUUGUAAUGAUCUUUCUUGGACAUCUUGUACUUCCUUCAAUCUUGGGUCAUAUUUUAGGCUCAGGCUUUAUUAUUAAUAAUAUACAUUUCGCUUUCAAAAAAAAAAAGUAAGUGAAUGAUUUUACUUUUUAAGGAUUUUAUUAUUUUAAUAGUUUUUUCAAUUUUCAAAUAAUUUUUUUUAUUUUAUAAUAGGACUUAUAUUUUGGUUUUCUAUUAAAAUAUUAAAUAAUAAAAAAAUAUUUUAGUUAAAUAAGUUGAAACAAGUACUUUUUAAAACCCAUGUAUGAGAAUUAACGCUAAUACCCUACUCGGAGCCUGCACACUUGAAUGGUAUGUUUGGCUUGGAGAGAAAGGGAGAGGAAAGAAAAGUGGAAGGAAAGAAAGAAAGAGAAAUGAGAGGAUUUUUAAAGUUGUUUAGUUGGAGAGAAGGUGAAAAGAAAAGUGGAAGAAAAGAAAAAGUUGUACUUAUAAAAUAACAUAAAUAUCCUUAGAUAAAAAGAAAUACAAUAACUAACUAUUUUAUUAAAAAAAGUAUUUUUAUACCUGUAUUACGAUUUUAAGUUUAUUUUUAAUCUUUGCAAUAAAAAAGGUUGAUUUUAAUUUUUUUAAGUAAAAUAUUUUCGAACUAUAGAAUUUAAAAAAUGACGGAAAUCUAUUACUAUACAUAAACUAAUCAAAAUGAAAAAUAAUUGGUGAACACCUAAUAAUAACAAAUGCCCACACAACUCAUGGUUUGUGAGGGAUUAGAAACCGCCACAAAUUAGUUUUUAACCCUACAAACUAAGGGAGGGUCUUUGUGUGUUUACUAUUUGGGUGUUCAUGGUCAGGGCCGGCCCUGGGCCUGUGCAAGCAGGCCCACAGCCUAGGGCCUCCAAAAUGAGGGUGCCUCAAAAAAAAAAUUGAAUACCUUUUACAGUGUUUUUCUUUAAGAAAGCGCUGUAAAUAGUCCGUCUUUUACAGCACUUCGAACCGCUGUAUACUAUUUUACAGCGGCUAGAGGUCCGAAGCGCUGUAAAAAGCGUUUUUUAAGUUUAAUGUACCUAUUAAACUUUCUCCAAAAAAAAAUUUAGGGGUCCAUUUUUAUUAUUAACACAGGGCCUCCAAAAUGUCGGGACCGGCCCUAUUCAUGGUUAACUAAUCAUUUUUGAAUCAAAAUAAAUAAAAUUAUUUUUAGAAAGAAUAAAAUAAAAUUAUUGGAACAUAAGGCACACGUGUUUUUCAAUGUGUAGCUCCUUUUCUUUCCAUUUUGAGCGGAAGCAUUUUGGGGUGGGACCCACUUUAUUUUUUCUUUCUUUCCUAUUUUGUAAAAAAACAAAACAAUACAAAAUUGGAAAGAGGCCCGAAGAUAACUCCUAGCGGACACCGAAGAUAUGGAAUAUCUAACGAGGCCCGUAGAGUGGGACCUACCCCUCUUCUAUUUAAGAAAGUUGUUUGCCUUAAACUCUUCAUUGUGGUUUUUGAUUCCUUCACUUCAUUCUAUCUCACACCAAAAGAAACCAUGUCUUCCUUCAAAUGCUUCCAUUUCUUCAUCAUCAUUUUGCAAGUCUUUGCUGCAAUACCCAUUUUCUCACUAGCAGAUUCCUCCCUCACCCAAAAUCAGCUCUUCACCAGUUUCCUAGACACUGCCAAGAAACCUGAGCUUUUUGAUUGGAUGCUCACUAUCAGAAGGAAGAUACAUCAGUUUCCUGAAUUGCUCUAUGAAGAAUUUCAGACCAGUGAACUCAUAAGAACAGAAUUGGAUAAUUUGGGCAUCCCCUAUAAGCACCCAGUUGCAGUCACUGGUGUCAUUGGCUUCAUAGGGACUGGAAAUCCACCUUUUGUUGCCUUAAGAGCUGAUAUUGAUGCUCUUCCCAUGCAGGUAGAUUUUGAUACUUUUGAUUUCUGAAAUUUUCAUAGGAAAGAGUGUUGUUUUCUCUUCACUCAAAUUUUAUUGACGUUUGGUAAUGUAUAAACUUCAGGAAAUGGUGGAGUGGGAGCACAUGAGCCAAGUAGAUGGGAAGAUGCACUCAUGUGGUCAUGAUGCUCAUACUACAAUGGUUCUUGGUGCUGCAAAGAUUCUCAAACAGCAUGAAAAUGAGCUAAAAGUGUGACCUUAAUUUUAUACUGCCUUCUCUGUUUCCAUUUUCUUUUUUAAUAUUGUUAUGCUCCCUCCUCCGGUCAUUUUUAUAAGAAAAUUUUGAUAAAAUCACACAAACCAAGGAAACUAAUCUUUUUUAUAAAAUAAACUAUUAUGUUUAAUUUCAAUGAUGUAUUUUCCUUUUCACAAGAACAAUCAUACUAAUUAUCAUAAAUGUUGACAAUACCUAUUGGGUGCUUUUAAUUUCCAUCCAAAUUUUUUCAUGGGGAAUAAGUCUCUUUGCAUUGGAAUGAAUUAUUUGACUUAAUUUUAUAAGAGUGUUUCUUAUAAAAAGGACAAAAAAAAAUUACUAAAGUGUUUUUUAUAAAAAGGACCGGAGGGAGUAUGUGUUUAGCUUUAUUUAUCCAUCCUAAAAAAUAUAUAGCUUAACCAGUAAAAGCUAAGAUGUAAGUGGCGUGUAAUCGUGUAUAGACAUUUUGAAGCCUAAAACGAAAAUGUCGAAGUUAUUUUUUUAAUAAAUUACUAAUUUUUUAUAUUAAUCUCCACUUUCUAAAAAAUAAUAAACAAUAGAACCUUGAAUAAAACAAUGAGAAAUUUUGUAAUACUUUAAUAUUUUGUAUUUCGUUUGAUAAUUCACUUCAAGUUUGAAACAAUGAUUUUUUUUUAGAGAAGAAACAAUGAAUGAAGAACAAACUUGUACAAUAUAUAAAUAUAUAAGUCAUAAAAAAAAAUUAAUGGUUAUAAGUAAACACAAUUUUUUUCUCUCAAAUCUCGAUUGUAUAUAUCAUAUAUGUGUGUACUAAUUUAUUUUUUAGAAGCCUAAAACAACCGAGGGGCCUAAGACCAUUGUCUCACUUGUCUGAGGCCAUACACGACCCUGUGUAAGUGCAAAGACCAAUCCCUGCAAACAAAGGAUAAAACCCCUCCCCGGAAUAAAAAAGAAAAUCGGUGGUCUCUACUCUGGCCCUUUUGAAUUUUGAUGACUCUAAAAAAUAACAAAUAAAAAAUUAUUGCAUAUUUUCAAUUAUGUCAAAGUCCAAUAUCUCUUCGGUUUCUGUCCUAUAAGCAAAGUGCUGUCAAAUUAUUCCAUCAUGCCAUUUUGUUUUGGUAAAUUACAAUUAUUCUGUCAAAUUGCAUACACCUUAGUUAAUCCGUUUUAUCUGAAUUGUCUUAUGUAAUUUGCUGUCUUCAUUCUCUCAUCAUGGAUCCCUAACAAGCUAACAUUAACAAAUUCAUUACUUUGAUGUCUAAACAAACAGGGAACUGUUGUUCUUGUUUUCCAACCAGCAGAGGAAGGAGGGGCAGGGGCUAAGAGAAUUUUAGAUUCUGGAGCCUUGGAAAAUGUUUCUGCUAUCUUUGGAUUGCAUAUGGCACCUACACCUUUACUUCAAGUAGGUGAAGCGGCUUCCAGAUCUGGUCCUGUUAUGGCAGGAUCUGGUCACUUUGAAGCAAUAAUAAGUGGAAGGGGAGGUCAUGCAGCUAUUCCUCAUUCUACUAUAGACCCGGUGUUGGCGGCUUCCAGUGUGAUUAUUAGCUUACAACAACUUGUUUCUCGCGAGGCUGAUCCUUUGGACUCCGAGGUAAAUUUGGAGCAACUACCCUUUAUAAACACUUAUUAGUCAUAUCUCUAGUCAAUGUGAAACUUCUCAACAGAAGACUUCUUAGUUUACUUACAAUUUCCCCUGUCUUCCUUACAUAGGUUGUGACUGUUGCAACAUUUCAAGGAGGUGGUGCAUUCAAUGUUAUUCCAGAUUAUGUCACAAUUGGAGGAACUUUUAGAGCUUUUUCCAGAGAAAGCUUGGAGCACCUGAAACACCGGAUUGAGCAGGUUAUCAUUGGACAAGCUGCUGUGCAUAGGUGCAAUGCCACUGUGAACUUCUUUGAGGAAGUGAGUCCUUUAUAUCCUCCGACUAUAAAUGAUGCUGGAUUGCACGAGCAGUUUCGUGAUGUUGCGCUGAAUUUGCUUGGCGCCGAUAAAGUUCACUUUGACUUGCCUCCAGUCACGGCUUCUGAAGAUUUUUCAUUCUAUCAAGAGGUCAUGCCUGGCUACUUCUUUUUUCUUGGAAUGCAUAAGCCCUCAAAUGAUCCCCGGGCUCAUAUUUUGCACUCACCGCAUCUCUUUAUCAAUGAAGAAGGACUUCCUUAUGGGGCUGCACUUCAUGCAUCAUUAGCUGUCAAUUAUCUUCAAAAAUAUCAGCAAGACGGAUCCACAGUGGAAGGGAAAUAUCGUGAUGAAUUAUAAUUGUUAUUAAUCAUUAUAAGCUUCCAGUCUUAUAAAAUAAGUUAGAAUUUCCACUUGUAAGAGCAUCAUGAUCUCUUGUUGUAAUCCCUUUUAGGAGUGGGAGUAAGGUUGGAGCAUAUAACAUAGCUCUACUUGAGUUGUCAAACUAAAUAAAUAAAGCAGUCUGCGACUUUUUAAAUUGGGUUUCUAGUUAUAGGAAGUCCAACAUAUUCAAUCUAUCUCAAUCCUUACCUAUUAGCCUAUAAUAUUUCUCACAUGUGUUAUAGAUAUGUUUGUUUUAGUAUAUUGAAGCUUGUUAGCCUAUUGUCAGGGGCUUUGUACACAUAAGCAUUAUGAAACAUACCUUUAAAUAAGUUACCAUACCAUACUUUCAAGUCACACUUAAGCCUUAAAAUUCUGAAGCAGGUCAUGCCUAUUUAUGCAGAGCAUAGCAUGACCUAUCCUAUUUUCAAUGCUGAUUGUUUUGUAGCAGCCUCUUUUAGUUUUGAUGUUCCGAGUCGAUUUGUUUGGAUUUCUGAUUUCUUGACAUUACUGGAGCAUUGUGUUUUGUCAUGUCCUCUUUUAGUUUUGGUCUUCCAAUUGUAGAUUUGUUUGGAAUUCUGAUUUCCUAACAGUACUAAACCAUUGCGUUUAGCACUUUUUUGUUCGCAAAAUUAGUUUUGAUGUGAGCUUCAAGAGUUAAAGAUUAUUCAUGGUAGUUCCUACAUUAUGCUACAAGGCAGAGUGAAGUAUUUUAUUUAGUACUUCUGUGUUGGCAAAAUUAUUUUGUUUUCUCAUUGUUGCCUCAUUUUGGAUUCACCUCUUUCUCUGAUAUUUGCAUACUUUAUCUUCUCAUUGAACUGCACCAAAGACACUCUUUUAUGGACUUACUUAUAGCUACAUACAUGUUUAGUAAGAUAUGGCAGUGAGGAGUGCAUGUGGGCUGACAUAAGAGGGAGUAUAAGCAUGGGAAGUGGGCCCUGACUCUUCAGUACCAUAAUUGUACUGAAUAUUUUCUCCACAUUCUGAGACUUUCAUCAGGAUCCCCUAUUAUGCCCUGGCCUGUUCUGAGUCCAGCAAAGUUUAUAUAACUGGAGAUGGUCUGCUCUGCUCUCCAUCUUAACUAAUUAAAACUUAAAUCUAUUUUUUACGCUUAACUUGAAUUCAAAAGUGCCUCUUCUUGUAACAGAAAAAACUUAAAUUCUAAUGUGUACCUAUCAAUACUAUUAAAUUAUUUUCUUAUCUAUCUAUCUAUAUAUAUUAGAAAAGAACAACUUCUAGCAUGACGUGUCGCUCUCACAGGCCAAGUUAGUGACGUGUCGCUCCGAGAUUAAUUCUCACUUAAUUAUUUACACGUCAGCUUUUCCACCUAUUUAAUUAUUUACACGUCAGCUUUUCCACCUAUUAAUUUUCGGAUUUUUAAUUAAUUAAGGAUUUUAUGAGUUUUUAUUGUGAUUUGCUAGAUUUUGAUAGUUUUUAUCUAUAUUUAUUUAGUACCUUUUUAAAAUUUAGAUUUGAUUAGGAUUUAGGUUGUUUAUUUCUUGAUUUUAUCUUAAUUUAUCUUAUUAUUUAUUUUUAGAGUAUUAUUUAGCUUUUAUCUCUUUAAUGUGAUGAUUAAUGAACAUUUGCAAGAAGUUGUAUUUUCUUUUUCCAAAAAAAAUGUUUUGAAACGUCUGGAUUCCCCAAUUUUCUGCAAUCAUAAUGUUUAUGACUGUAUUUUUUUUAAUCAUGAUGCUCAGAAGAACUCUCUUCUUUAGAGCAAAGGAAAAUGAAGAGCAUUUGCACCUUGAACGAAUCAAGGAUAAGUCAAAACUUUUUCUUUUGGAGGAUGGUGCUAGCAAAGAUAGAAAACACAAUGUAAUGUUAAAAGCUAUUGAAGCUAUUGCUGGAGUCAGAGAAGAGGUGGCAAACUGUUUGAGAUGGUGAAACAUUCUUCCCAUUUUAUUGUUGGUAAAAAGAUUGGAGAACAUGUAAGGUUUUCUGCCCCUUUCAUACUUUCUGAUAUACUUUGCACCUAAAUUUUUGGUUUCAAGUGUGAAAAUGAAGAGCAUUCUAAUGUUUCUCUCUUUUCAGAAUCCUAAGUUUUGUUGUUAAUCCUAUUUAGAAAUCCAUUUACUCCAUCUUGGUCUAAUGCCCAUGGCUGCCGUAGCCAAGCCUCAGUAUUAAGAUACCUUUGGUGGAUGUAUGAGUAUUUAAUUGUUGCAAAUUUGAACAUUGACCUACUUAUCUUACCUCUUUCAUACAACUCUUUACAUAUCUAUUUGCUACUUUGAUUGUUAGGAGAGAUUUUUAACAUUCGAACAAUUUUGACAAUUGGUAUCUAAAGAAAGCUCUAUUAGUAUGACCUUUUUAUCUUCUUUUUGUCUUCUUCACAAGUUAACCAGAUAGAGAGGAUGAUGCAGAAACAAUAUUACACAAACGAAAAUCAGUGACUUAGAUAGAUAAGUGGCUUAGUUAGUUUAACUUUAGUCCCUCUGUAAUUAAGUGAUUAGGUUAGUUAUCAUUUAUGCUCACUAUCUAUCUGAUUCAUUUAUGAGGUAGUUAGUAUUAUAAAAACCUGUAGCAUUUCAGCAAUUGAGAACCUGUGUUUUGGUUUUCUUUCAUUUUUUAAUCUUAUUGUUUUGAAGAGUGAAACACCGAAAUGGUAUGGCAGUGAUACUGUUAAUGUGCUUAGGGAACGACAUUGAGAAAAAGUUUUAUGAUUCUGACUUCCAUAAGCUUAGGGGAUGGCAGUGGUCACUGUAGAUUAAAUUAGCUAUUGGUUAUUAGCCAUCAUUGAUUUUAUUCCCUGAUUAUGUCUCUGAUAGUAAUUGAAAAGUCAAAUUACUAUAAAUGUUUUAUGACCUACAUUACUCCAUACUUACACCACCCCCUGAUUUCUCCUUUUGGUCCUUCUCAUGAUCUAUCCCCCUGAUUUCUCCUUCUCAUAAUUGCACAUAACCUAAGUUAACUCCUUAAUACAAUUUAAAAAUGGCAAGGUAGAUGUCCAGAUAGGUUUCUCUUGGUGAACUUCUAUGCCACAAGAUGAUGGUUUCAAGGAACUGUGAUAAUCUUGCUUCUGUUUUUUAUAAAUACUUAUCUACAUGUAUUUGGUCAAGUCAUUGGACAAUGCAGAGUGUGUAAAAUUGCAGCAUGGUUUGUUUUUUUUUAUUAGAGCAAGUGCAUAAUGGUUGGUGAAAGUCAUGUAGAGAUUACCAUUUCUGUUCCGAAAACCCAAAGCUGUCGGAGCAACUUUUUAUGGUUGGAGGAGCUUACUAAGGUGACUUAUACUGAACAAACAUGGGAGGAGAAGGAUGUUUAUGGUAUUCCUUGAGAGAGCUUGAACAUAAAAGAGGUAUGAGAAGCAAGCCAUUGAGAGCAUGGUCCCUGCAAAUUCCCACUUUUUUUUGUAUUUAUUUGUCUGCAGACUGCUAUUAAUGCAAGGCAGGCCUUCCUCUUUUUACUAACCUGAAUGAUCUCAGUCAUAGAUGCUUGCAGAUACUCCACCAUUCCUUCUGUUUCAUUCUCAUUUAUUUUGAUCUCUAAUUUGUUGUGUUUGGUCAUUGAAAAGAAGUAAGAAUUUUUAAUUUCUUUAGUUUAUCUUUCAUGAAACUACUAUACAUCAUAUCAAUGACUAUAUUAGUUAAAUUUUUUCUUUUAGAAUGUUAACUCCAUAUGCCUUAUUGCUUGAUUAGUUUAUAUAGUUAAAGGAGCUAUAUAAUAAAAUAGGUUAAAGAAAUUAUAAGGUUAUUUAAUUUCUUAAACUUAUGCUCCUCUGUUAUUGAUACUAUGCCUUUUUACUUAAUUUAUUGAUUGAUAAUUAUAAGGUUAAAGGUAACAUCUACAUGUUGUGGUAUGAUUUUUUCUUCUAAAUAAUGCUAAUUAUGUACACUGGAGUUUAGUUUCUCUUUGUUUUGCCAUUUAGACUGCAUUUUUGUUUAUUUUUUGCUGUUGUUUUUUGUUUAUUUUUUAAUUUGCUUUUCUCUUUCUCUAACAAUGUGGUUUAAGGCAGCAUAGCUUCAUUUUUUACUUCUUUUAUGUCCUUUUUUUAUGUAGCUAUGUGUCAAGAUUUUCACUUUGAGGCCAACCUUUUAACUGCAACAGUGAAGCAUUUCACUUUGAGGCUAACCUUUUAGCUGCUGUUUAUGUCCUGUAAUAACUUUUAGAAGAAUAAAAUCAAAUCAUUGAAGCAUAUAUUUUAUGCCAAUAAAAUACACAGAUGAUUUAAACUGAUUGAUUAUUUCUAUUCCCUUUGGACUUGGGAGCAAAGCUCCAACUAUAUAAGUAGGGUUCAAGAAUUUGACUAUUGAAGUUGCGGCAAAGCUUUGCCAACCCUACCAAGUUCUUCAUUGAACAUUGUAGAAUCAGUCCUUGGUGCAUGUGGGAUUAGUACUUUAAAGAGAACAAAUCUCAUAAUUGUGAAUAAUGUCUCUGACAUUGUUAAAGCAGGAUGGUACUACAAACAGGUUAUCCAUAGACUGGAUGGAAUGGAACAACAUUUAGCAAUAGUUUUUUAUAGGUAUUUGACUAUUCUAUGCAGCUUUUCAUUUUAUAGCCCUUUUGGUUUUGGGCAGGAUGACCCUUUAGGGUGGUACAUAAACUUCAACUAGAUAUCGUGUAAAUUAAUGUCAAUGGAUGCUACAGGGGUGCUACUCAUGUUGGAUGGAAUGGAACAACAUUUAGCAAUAGUUUUUUAUAGGUUAUUUGAGUAUUCUAUGCAGCUUUUCAUUUUAUAGCCCUUUUGGUUUUGUGCAGGAUGGCCCUUUAGGGUGGUACAUAUUUUUAUAUAGGACGAAUAACAUAAAGUUCAGCUAGAUAUCAUGUAAAUUAAUGUCAAUGGAUGCUACAGGGGUGCUGCUCAUGUGUUUCAUGUUCACAACAAUUACUGCUUUGGAGCUUGCUUAAAAUAUGAUUGGCCUAAAAUAAUCAUUUUAUGUUUCCCUUCCUCUUCAUUUUUGCUAAGAAAAGUCCCUCUCAAGUCACAAUAAAAGUGAGUGAAAUUCAUCAAUUUUAGACUGCCUUUCAUUUGCUCUUUUUGUUUCAGGGGAUUUGACAGCUUAUGGUAAUUGAUUGGAAUAAUUGCUCUCUCGGACUAUUACUAAAAGAGAAAGGUACCAUGCUCUAGCUCUUUCUGUCUGUCAUCUUUUACUAUAUAUUAAUCACUCAUUAUCUUACCUGAUAUAUAAUGUUAACAGCGCGUCCUCUUUCAAUUCUUAAUUUGUUUAAUAACUUCUUUUGUUCAAUCCAUGGAGUAUGUAGACGUGUUCCCUUGCUAUGUUGAAUAUGUAUUUAUAUAGUGACAUGCCAAUCUAUUGAUUUAUUUCAAAAACUGUCCAUAGAGGUGGAUGCUGAGUUAGUUUCUUUAUUGCAAGAAAUCAGGAUUAGAAUGUGCUAGCAGCAGGUUACCUAUUUAAUCAGGAUUUAGAGAUCCUAUAUUUUCUGUUUUCUUCAAAAUAUCUGAAUUUUUAACAUAUGCCUAAGUUUUGGCUUCUUUACACUAUUCGUUGAUAUUCUGUGGUGAUUUUUCAGCAAAAGUAUAUUCUGAUUGGUUUUAAAUAAUCAUUUUAUGUUUCCCUUUCUCUUCAUUUUAGAUCAAAUAUGUAAGCGGCUCAUAUGAUUCUGGGAAUGUCUUCCUCUUAUUGAAUAAAGAGAUUUCAGAGCAUGAAUAUUUGAAAAUAGUAUAGAGUUCAUCGCUGAGACUUUUCUAUUGGUAACUUUGGUAACUCUUGCUUUUAAGUUUUGGUAAAUUUGCCCACACUUCAUAUUUUCAAAAUUGGAUUUGUGAAUAUUGUUGGAUUUGUCACUUAUUACAGAUUUCAAAUUUAUUUAUAAAUCCCGAUAAAUGCAGUAUUUUAUAUGCUUUGUGUUGUACCCUUUUAAGUUUUUGUGUAAAUGAUGGGUUGCUUGAUCCAAAUCUGGUGCCAAAAGAUGUCAAACUAGAAAUUCUAUCGAAUUAUAUUUUUAUGUCUUUAAAACCUUUUGUUUGUGCUACAUCUUUUUAUGCUAUAUGUUUUUGGUUUUUCUUGCACGGAUAAAACUAAAGUUAUAAAAAUAGUAAUUACUAAUCUGGUGUGAAUAUUUGAUUCAAGCUUUGAUUGAGAUUUAAGGCUUUGUUUUAUAACAGCUUUUGAGAAAUGAUUUAAUUGAGGCCAUGCCCUGUGAAAUGUGAUAUUUUACUUUUUUCAAAUAUCAAACUCUAGGUUUGCUUUUGGGUGAUAUUUAAGCUUAACUAACCACCUUAUUUCAAACUCUAGGAGGUAUGACUCAAUCUUUGUAGCAUUGGGGAAAAUUGGUCUGACAAUAAGUGUUUGGUGGAUUUUUCACCCAAGAGGAAGCUUUGCCAGUUUUCAAGAUUGACCAAGGGAGCUUCUUUAAACGGUCUUGAAGGUCUCCUCCUUGAGCCACCAAGAGAGGCUCUUAACAAUUCAAACAAGAACUUGAAGAUCAAGUACCUGCAGGUACUACUGAGCGCGACAUGCAUAUGUUGGCUUAAAAGGGCUCUUACCAUAAGAGUAGUUGAGAUAAACAUGACUCAUUUAUUUUAGAUAUGGCCAAGAACUUAGGAUUGAGCAAGCAUAUAUGAAUAUUACAAUUUGAGAUUUGUAGGACGAGAUGUUUGAAGGUUCUAUAUUUUAUUAUAUUGUUACCUUAAAUCACAUUAGAAGGUUUGACUUGCGUUGGGUUUCACUCGAAGUAAAGCAUAGAAAAAAGAACGUCAGGUAAGCAUACAGAGUAAAAUGCUAGAUACGAAGAGCAUACUCUAUGUUGUUGAAUUUCGUAGUUCUUGGACAUGGUGUUGGAAGGAGUAAACGUCUUCCACGAAGGGAUAUUUUAUAUGAAAAUGAUUGUGUUAAAAUUAAUAGAAAAAAAUUAAUAUAAUUAAUUUUAGUAUUUUUAAAAAAAUUUAAGAGGGUAUAUUUAUAUAUGUAUAUAACUAUAAUAGUUUGAUAGUUAAAAUAGUAUGAGGAAUAAAAAAUAUGAAUACAUAUGUACUAUAGAUUUAUGACCUAAAUUUAUUAGUGCUAACAUAUUCGAGUUAUGAGAUCUCACGGGAAGGAACAUUUUACAUGAUAAAUGAAAAAUGUGUACACAUAGUUAAAAAAACAUUUUUAUAUAACUUAAGUGUAUUUUUAAUAAUGUAAACAAUAAUUAUAUAUUUAUGUAUUGUUACAUAUCUAAAACACAAAAGCAAUACCCUUUAUGCAACACAAGUAUACAUCUUCGCAACCAAAAUUCAGUUUUUUAUUUAUUGUAAAUCAUGUCAAACAAAGCAUCAAAGGUUGUUGGCAUCACUUCCUUGCGGAUAAACUGGGGAUCAUGGCUUACAUGAGCACAGAGCACACCAAAGUGGAUUGGACACCACAUUUGUCACUCAAAACCUUAAGGCAAACAAAAUUCAGUUAUACCUCAUAUAUGCAAAACUUAAAUAUUUUGGCCUAAUAACUUUUGUGUUUUUCAAAAUCUUUAUAUUAGUCUAUUCAGUGUAUGCUUACAAAAUACUAGAAUUGAGUGUCUAAAUUUGUGCUCUUUAAAUAUCUACAUCUUUAUUAUGAUUGUUCUUACAUUCUUAGCAUUUUAAAUAUUUUAUAAUUUAAAAUAUUAAUCGAUGUAUCAAAUACAAUAGACAAAUUUCCCGUGCAACGCGCGGGUAAAAAACACUAGUUAAAAAUAAAUAAAUCAAUACUACUAAACAACUCAUAGUGCCUCCAACUCAUAAUUUUUGUAGGCUUAAUAACACUUUUGGUCCCUCACAUUUGCCAUAUGUGCGAAAAUCGUCCCCUAAGUAAGAAAAUAGCAAAAAUAAUCCCUCACUUUGUUAAACGACAACAUUUUCGGUCCCUCGUCACUAUUCCGUUUACUUUCAUUCAAAUUUUAACGAUUUUUAGAAAUAAAAAUAAAAAUAAAAAAUAAAAUAAUAAUGUAAACACAGAAAAAUAUCAAUAAUCAUCUUCUUCCAGCAUAAUCUGCAUCAAUUUCAUCUUUAUCUAAAAAUACUAGAAAAACUCUAUGCUUCUUUCCUCACCAUCUCUUAACACUGAAAAAACCCAAGAAAAGUUCCUCAGAAACCAUGGGUUCGACCAUCUCUCCAAAACAUCAUAAAUUUUAUGGGUUUUCAUUUUUUUUAUUUUUUUAUCAAUUUUAUUCAGAAAACUGUUAAAUAUUUGACAGAAAACGUUAGUUUAUUGACGGAACAGUGAUGAAGGACCAAAAGUGCUGCCGUUUGACAAAGUGAGGGACAUUUUUUGCUAUUUUCUUACUUAGGGGACGAUUUUCACACAUAGGACAAACGUGAGGGACCAAAAGUGCUAUUAAGCCAUUUUUGUAACAUCUCAUUUCCUAUGAUCUUUAAAAGAAACAUCUCAUUUCCUAUAGCAAAGCCAAUUUAUCUCGUACUCAUCUAAAAGUGGAAAGGUUUCAUACCCUUUAGGUUUAAUUUGCCAUGAUUUCUUCUAUAACAAAUUUUUAUAAUUUGCGACUUAGUUAUUUGUACUCUAAAUAAUGAACCGAAUGAUUCCAAACCCUCUCAUUUUGAAAGGGCGCACGAUCAAUGCCCCAUAUUUAAUAUCUACAACUGAACACUCUUCUUUUCCUGCUCUAACUCUUGUUAUUGCAAAAAAAACUAUUGUUAUUGCAGGUAUGUGCACGUAAGUGCCUCAAACAAUUUUCUAAAGCACAAAUUCUGUUAGAAAGCAUUGAAGAGGCGUGGCCCGUGGAGUGAACCUGCAUGCCGCUCUGUUCAAUUUAAGAAGGUUGUUUUCCUUCAUUUCAUUCUUCCCACACCAACAAAAACAAUGUCUUCCUUCAACCGCUUCCAUUUUUUCAUUAUCAUUUUGCAAGUCUUUGCUACAAUUCCCAUUCUCUCAUUAGCAGAUUCCAGCUCCCUCACCCCAAAUCAGCUCUUCACCAACUUCCUUGACACUGCCAAGAACCCUGAGCUUUUUGAUUGGAUGGUCACAAUCAGAAGGAAGAUACAUCAGUUUCCGGAGUUGGGCUAUGAAGAAUUUCAGACCAGUGAAGUGAUAAGAACAGAAUUGGAUAAGUUGGGGAUCCCCUAUAAACACCCUGUUGCAGUCACCGGUGUUAUUGGCUUCAUAGGGACUGGAAAUUCGCCUUUCGUCGCCUUAAGAGCUGAUAUGGAUGCUCUACGCAUGCCGGUAACUUUGAAAAGUUCUAUUUGAAUCAGGGUUGACUUUUGAUUUCAUUUGACAAUGUAUGUAUUAAACUGCAGGAAUUGGUUGAUUGGGAGUACAAGAGUCAAGUACCUGGAAAGAUGCACGCAUGUGGUCAUGACGCUCAUAUGACCAUGCUUCUUGGUGCUGCAAAUAUGCUGAAACAGCGCGAACAAGAGAUAAAUGUAUGACCACAAACAGUUUCUGAUAAAUUUCUGUAUACUGUUAUACUUAUAUAUGUUCUGCAUUGUUGUCUUAUUUUGUUGUUUUCAUCCUCUCAUGGAUCAUCACUUUGAUGUCUAAACAAACAGGGAACCAUUGUGCUUGUUUUCCAACCAGCAGAGGAAGGAGGUGCAGGGGCUAAGAAAAUUGUUGAAUCUGGAGCCUUGGAAAAUGUAUCUGCUAUCUUUGGAUUGCAUGUGCUACCAACGCUUCCAGUUGGUGAAGUGGCUUCUAGAUCUGGUCCUUUAAUGGCAGGGUCUGGUCGCUUUGAAGCAAUUAUCAAUGGAAAGGGAGGUCAUGCAGCUCUUCCUCAUACUGCUAUUGACCCGAUUUUGGCUGCUUCUAAUGUAGUUAUUAGCUUACAAUACCUAGUUUCCCGCGAGGCUGAUCCUUUGGAACCCCAGGUAAAUUAUGUUUAUUAAAAAGUCUCAUAUUGACUAGAGAUAUAGCUAAUAAGUGUUUAUGAAGUAUAAAACAACCCUCACCUAAGAGUUAGACCUACCGAAUUCUAAGAUUAUUUGCCAUGGCCACUCAUGAUUUACAUUUAUUUAGAAUCCUCCUUUGUCUUCCUUACAUAGGUUGUGACAGUUGCAAAGUUUGAAGGAGGUGGCACAUUCAAUGUUAUUCCAGAUUAUGUCAAAAUUGGAGGAACCUUCAGAGCUUUUUCCACAAAAAGCUUGGAGUACCUGAAACAGCGCAUUGAACAGGUUAUCAUUGCACAAGCUGCAGUGCAGAGAUGCAAUGCAACUGUGAGCUUCUUUGAGGAAGUGAGUCCUUCAUAUCCUCCCACUAUUAAUGAUGGUGACUUGCACGAAAAGUUUCGCGAUGUUGCAGAGAGUUUGCUUGGCGCUGAUAAAGUUCACCUCAACCUUCCACCAGUCACUGCUGCUGAAGACUUUUCAUUCUAUCAAAAGGUCAUACCUGGCUACUUCUUUUUACUUGGAAUGCAU